This 609-nucleotide ribosomal RNA is filed under the name uncultured bacterium. RNAcentral's name for it is "bacterial SSU rRNA". It matches the Rfam family "Bacterial small subunit ribosomal RNA", at positions 61 to 708 of the family's 1533-position model. The record is from RNAcentral.
GUCGAGCGAGCACUGAGCCUUCGGGUGGUGCUGAGUGGCGGACGGGUGAGUAACGCGUGGGUACCUGCCUCACACAGGGGGAUAACAGUUAGAAAUGACUGCUAAUACCGCAUAAGCUCGCAUGGGAAAAACUCCGGUGGUGUGAGAUGGACCCGCGUCUGAUUAGCUAGUUGGUGGGGUAACGGCCUACCAAGGCGACGAUCAGUAGCCGACCUGGGAGGGUGACCGGCCACAUUGGGACUGAGACACGGCCCAAACUCCUACGGGAGGCAGCAGUGGGGAAUAUUGCACAAUGGGGGAAACCCUGAUGCAGCGACGCCGCGUGAUGAAGAAGUAUUUCGGUAUGUAAAAUCUAUCAGCAAGGAAGAAAAUGACGGUACUUGACUAAGAAGCCCCGGCUAACUACGUGCCAGCAGCCGCGGUAAUACGUAGGGGGCAAGCGUUAUCCGGAUUUACUGGGUGUAAAGGGAGCGUAGGCGGUCUGGCAAGCCAGAAGUGAAAGCCCGGGGCUUAACCCGGGACUGCUUUUGGAACUGUUAGACUAGAGUGUCGGAGAGGUAAGUGGAAUUCCUAGUGUAGCGGUGAAAUGCGUAGAUAUUAGGAGGAACA